This 520-nucleotide ribosomal RNA is filed under the name uncultured Entrophospora. RNAcentral's name for it is "SSU rRNA". It matches the Rfam family "Eukaryotic small subunit ribosomal RNA", at positions 569 to 1084 of the family's 1831-position model. Lineage: Eukaryota; Fungi; Glomeromycota; Glomeromycetes; Entrophosporales; Entrophosporaceae. The record is from RNAcentral.
AGCAGCCGCGGUAAUUCCAGCUCCAAUAGCGUAUAUUAAAGUUGUUGCAGUUAAAAAGCUCGUAGUUGAAUUUCGGGAUUGACACAUCGGUCGUGCCUUAAGGGGUAUGAACUGGUGUAGUCAAUUUCUCACCUUCUGGAGAACCGCGAUGCCCUUAAUUGGGUGUCGCGGGGAACCAGGACCUUUACUUUGAAAAAAUUAGAGUGUUUAAAGCAGGCAUUUUGCUUGAAUACAUUAGCAUGGAAUAAUAAAAUAGGACGGCAUGAUUCUAUUUUGUUGGUUUCUAGGAUCACCGUAAUGAUUAAUAGGGAUAGUUGGGGGCAUUAGUAUUCAAUUGUCAGAGGUGAAAUUCUUGGAUUUAUUGAAGACUAACUACUGCGAAAGCAUUUGCCAAGGAUGUUUUCAUUAAUCAAGAACGAAAGUUAGGGGAUCGAAGACGAUCAGAUACCGUCGUAGUCUUAACCAUAAACUAUGCCGACUAGGAAUCAGACGAUGUUAAUUCUUUAAUGACUCGUUUGGC